CAGCCGCCGCGGGAAAACGAAGGGUGCAAGCGUUACUCGGAAUUACUGGGCGUAAAGCGUGCGUAGGUGGUGGUUUAAGUCCGUUGUGAAAGCCCUGGGCUCAACCUGGGAAUUGCAGUGGAUACUGGGUCACUAGAGUGUGGUAGAGGAUAGUGGAAUUUCCGGUGUAGCAGUGAAAUGCGUAGAGAUCGGAAGGAACAUCUGUGGCGAAGGCGACUAUCUGGGCCAACACUGACACUGAGGCACGAAAGCGUGGGGAGCAAACAGGAUUAGAUACCCCCGUAGUCCCUGUCUCUUAUAC
This 301-nucleotide ribosomal RNA is filed under the name uncultured bacterium. RNAcentral's name for it is "partial 16S ribosomal RNA". It matches the Rfam family "Bacterial small subunit ribosomal RNA", at positions 509 to 807 of the family's 1533-position model. The record is from RNAcentral.